UGGCGCACGGGUGAGUAACACGUGAGUAACCUGCCCCCGAGAGCGGGAUAGCCCUGGGAAACUGGGAUUAAUACCGCAUAGUAUCGAAAGAUUAAAGCAGCAAUGCGCUUGGGGAUGGGCUCGCGGCCUAUUAGUUAGUUGGUGAGGUAACGGCUCGCCAAGGCGAUGACGGGUAGCCGGUCUGAGAGGAUGUCCGGCCACACUGGAACUGAGACACGGUCCAGACACCUACGGGAGGCAGCAG
This 244-nucleotide ribosomal RNA is filed under the name uncultured bacterium. RNAcentral describes it as "partial 16S ribosomal RNA". It matches the Rfam family "Bacterial small subunit ribosomal RNA", at positions 96 to 354 of the family's 1533-position model. The record is from RNAcentral.